Molecule: transfer RNA, 74 nt
Filed under: Microcaldota archaeon
Lineage: Archaea; Nanobdellati; Microcaldota
Description: Candidatus Micrarchaeota archaeon tRNA-Ala
Rfam family: tRNA
About the family: Transfer RNA (tRNA) molecules are approximately 80 nucleotides in length.
Source: RNAcentral
UGGGGCGUAGCUCGGCUUGGAAGAGCGUCAGCUUUGCAAGCGAGAGGCCGGCGGUUCGAGUCCGCUCGCCUUGA